CCGGCACGGGUGAGUAACACGUAUGCAAUCCACCUGUAACAGGGGGAGUAACCCGGAGAAAUCCGGACUAAUACCCCAUAAUAUGGGCGCUCCGCAUGGAGAGCCCAUUAAAGAGAGCAAUUUUGGUUACAGACGAGCAUGCGCUCCAUUAGCCAGUUGGCGGGGUAACGGCCCACCAAAGCGACGAUGGAUAGGGGUUCUGAGAGGAAGGUCCCCCACAUUGGUACUGAGACACGGACCAA
RNAcentral lists this ribosomal RNA (242 nucleotides) under uncultured bacterium. RNAcentral describes it as "partial 16S ribosomal RNA". It matches the Rfam family "Bacterial small subunit ribosomal RNA", at positions 100 to 334 of the family's 1533-position model. The record is from RNAcentral.